This 648-nucleotide ribosomal RNA is filed under the name Acarospora sp. RNAcentral's name for it is "SSU rRNA". It matches the Rfam family "Bacterial small subunit ribosomal RNA", at positions 381 to 1113 of the family's 1533-position model. Lineage: Eukaryota; Fungi; Ascomycota; Lecanoromycetes; Acarosporales; Acarosporaceae. The record is from RNAcentral.
GCUAGUUGUAUUAACUAUUAGUUAAUGCAAGAUCGACUACGUCGACUAAAGUUCUAGGUAGAAUAAUGAUGAUGACAAUUUUUUACCUAUAUGUCUUGACCAAGUCUCGUGCCAGCAGUCGCGGAAAUACGUGGAAGACUAGUGUUAUUCAUCUUUAAUAGGUUUAAAGGGUACCUAGACGGUAUUUCUAGCCCAAAAUAGGGUACGGAUUUACUAGAGUUUUAUGUGAGGAGGGGAGUACUCGUGGAGUAGAGAUGAAAUUUUGUGAUACUAUGAGGAAACUGGUGGCGGCGAAAGCAACCUUCUAUGUAUAAACUGACGUUGAGGGACGAAGGCUUGGGUAGCAAAUAGGAUUAGAUACCCUAGUAGUCCAAGCAGACAAUUCUGAAUGCCAUAGAUUAGAUUAUUUUUGGUCUAUAAAUGAAAGUGUAAGCAUUCCACCUUAGGAGUAAUGUGGCAACACAGGAACUGAAAUCAUUAGACCGUUUCUGAAACCAGUAGUGAAGUAUGUUAUUUAAUUUGAUGGUCCACAAAAAACCUUACCACAACUUGAAUAUUAUUAAAUUAAUACAAGCGUUGCACGGCUGUCUUCAGUUAAUGUCGUGAGAUUUUGGUUAACUCCAUUAAUUAACGUAAACCCUUACUUUA